This 502-nucleotide ribosomal RNA is filed under the name uncultured bacterium. Its description in RNAcentral is "bacterial SSU rRNA". It matches the Rfam family "Bacterial small subunit ribosomal RNA", at positions 29 to 526 of the family's 1533-position model. The record is from RNAcentral.
AGCGAACGUUUGCGGCGGGCUUAACACAUGCAAGUCGAACGAGAAUCCCUUCGGGGAGGAAAGUGGCGCACGGGUGCGUAACACGUGGAUAACCAACCCAUUGGUUUGGGACAACACCGGGAAACUGGUGCUAAUACCAGGUGUGUCGCAGCUGUCUUCAGGCGGUUGCGAGAAAGGCCCGCAAGGGUCGCCAACGGACGGGUCCGCGUCCCAUCAGCUAGUUGGUGAGGUAAUGGCUCACCAAGGCAAAGACGGGUAGCUGGUCUGAGAGGAUGAUCAGCCACACUGGAACUGAGACACGGUCCAGACUCCUACGGGAGGCAGCAGUGGGGAAUAUUGCGCAAUGGGCGAAAGCCUGACGCAGCCACGCCGCGUGAGCGAUGAAGGUCUUCGGAUCGUAAAGCUCUGUGGGGGGAGAAGAAGAAAGCCGGUGAAGAGCCGGCCCUGACGGUAUCCCCUUAGCAAGCACCGGCUAACUCCGUGUCAGCAGCCGCGGUAAUGU